GGGGGGUUUUGGGGGUUUUGGGGUGGCCCAGCACGACGUGGGCGAGCUGCAGCGGCGCUACGGCGAGUGAGAGCCGGGGCGAAAAAGGGCGGAUUCGGGCAAAGAGGGGAAAAAAAAACCGGGGGGGGUUUGGGGAAUAAAUGGUGGAAAAGUGGCGGGUUUUGGUGGUUUUUGGGGGGGUUUGAAGGGGUUGAGAAGAGCGGGAGAGCUCCAGGAGAUGCCGAGAGAAUUGGGAGAAAAUCCGGGAAUUUUGGGGAAAAAACAAAAUCCGGGAAUUUUGGGGAAAAAACGUGGAAAUUUGGGAAAAAAGAGUCAAAAAAAUGGAGUUUACGUGGAAAAAGUGGUGGGUUUUUUGGGGGAGUUUUGGGGGUUUUUGGGGGGUUUUGGGGGGGUUUGAAGGGGUUAAGAGAGCGGGAGAGGUCCGAGGGGUUUCUGGGUAAAAUCCGGGAGUUUUGGGAAAACUGAGUGAAAAAAAAGUGGAAUUUUGGGG
This is a long non-coding RNA of Corvus hawaiiensis (hawaiian crow), 490 nucleotides long. RefSeq lists it as uncharacterized. The record is from RefSeq and is a predicted model, not a curated record. Lineage: Eukaryota; Metazoa; Chordata; Aves; Passeriformes; Corvidae. The transcript is spliced from 2 exons.